RNAcentral lists this ribosomal RNA (467 nucleotides) under uncultured bacterium. RNAcentral describes it as "partial 16S ribosomal RNA". It matches the Rfam family "Bacterial small subunit ribosomal RNA", at positions 28 to 506 of the family's 1533-position model. The record is from RNAcentral.
GACGAACGCUGGCGGCGUGCUUAACACAUGCAAGUCGAACGGAAAGGCCCUGCUUUUGUGGGGUGCUCGAGUGGCGAACGGGUGAGUAACACGUGAGUAACCUGCCCUUGACUUUGGGAUAACUUCAGGAAACUGGGGCUAAUACCGGAUAGGAGCUCCUGCUGCAUGGUGGGGGUUGGAAAGUUUCGGCGGUUGGGGAUGGACUCGCGGCUUAUCAGCUUGUUGGUGGGGUAGUGGCUUACCAAGGCUUUGACGGGUAGCCGGCCUGAGAGGGUGACCGGCCACAUUGGGACUGAGAUACAGCCCAGACUCCUACGGGAGGCAGCAGUGGGGAAUAUUGCACAAGGGGCGGAAGCCUGAUGCAGCAACGCCGCGUGCGGGAUGACGGCCUUCGGGUUGUAAACCGCUUUCGCCUGUGACGAAGCGUGAGUGACGGUAAUGGGUAAAGAAGCACCGGCUAACUACGU